RNAcentral lists this ribosomal RNA (463 nucleotides) under uncultured Desulfobulbus sp. RNAcentral describes it as "bacterial SSU rRNA". It matches the Rfam family "Bacterial small subunit ribosomal RNA", at positions 925 to 1382 of the family's 1533-position model. Lineage: Bacteria; Pseudomonadati; Thermodesulfobacteriota; Desulfobulbia; Desulfobulbales; Desulfobulbaceae. The record is from RNAcentral.
ACAAGCGGUGGAGUAUGUGGUUUAAUUCGAUGCAACGCGAAGAACCUUACCUGGUCUUGACAUCCCGGAGACCCUUAGGAAACGUAGGGGUGCUUCCAUCUGGAAGAAUCUGGAGACAGGUGCUGCAUGGCUGUCGUCAGCUCGUGUCGUGAGAUGUUGGGUUAAGUCCCGCAACGAGCGCAACCCUUGCCUUUAGUUGCCAGCAGUUCGGCUGGGCACUCUAAAGGGACUGCCGGUGUUAAACCGGAGGAAGGUGGGGAUGACGUCAAGUCCUCAUGGCCUUUAUGACCAGGGCUACACACGUACUACAAUGGCCGAUACAAAGGGCAGCGACACUGCGAGGUGAAGCCAAUCCCGUAAAAUCGGUCUCAGUCCGGAUUGGAGUCUGCAACUCGACUCCAUGAAGUUGGAAUCGCUAGUAAUCGUGGAUCAGCAUGCCACGGUGAAUACGUUCCCGGGCCUU